Molecule: ribosomal RNA, 491 nt
Filed under: uncultured bacterium
Lineage: Bacteria
Description: bacterial SSU rRNA
Rfam family: Bacterial small subunit ribosomal RNA
Source: RNAcentral
GGCUCAGAUUGAACGCUGGCGGCAUGCCUUACACAUGCAAGUCGAACAGCAGCACGGGAGCUUGCUCCUGGUGGCGAGUGGCGAACGGUGAGUAAUACAUCGGAACGUACCCUGAAGUGGGGAUAACGUAGCGAAAGUUACGCUAAUACCGCAUAUUCUGUGAGCAGGAAAGAGGGGGAUCGCAAGACCUCUUGCUUUAGGAGCGGCCGAUGUCGGAUUAGCUAGUUGGUGAGGUAAAGGCUCACCAAGGCGACGAUCCGUAGCGGGUCUGAGAGGAUGAUCCGCCACACUGGGACUGAGACACGGCCCAGACUCCUACGGGAGGCAGCAGUGGGGAAUUUUGGACAAUGGGCGCAAGCCUGAUCCAGCCAUGCCGCGUGAGUGAAGAAGGCCUUCGGGUUGUAAAGCUCUUUCGGUGGGGAAGAAAUUGCACAGGAUAAUACCUUGUGUAGAUGACGGUACCCGCAUAAGAAGCACCGGCUAACUACGUG